Molecule: ribosomal RNA, 468 nt
Filed under: uncultured bacterium
Lineage: Bacteria
Description: partial 16S ribosomal RNA
Rfam family: Bacterial small subunit ribosomal RNA
Source: RNAcentral
GACGAACGCUGGCGGCGUGCUUAACACAUGCAAGUCGAACGGAAAGGCCCUGCUUUUGUGGGUUGCUCGUGUGGCGAACGGGUGAGUAACACGUGAGUAACCUCCCCUUGACUUUGGGAUAACUUCAGGAAACUGGGGCUCAUACCGGAUAUGAGCUCCUGCUGCAUGGUGGGGGUUGGAAAGAUUCGGCGGUUGUGGAUGGACUCGCGGCUUAUCAGCUUGUUGGUGGGGUAGUGGCUUACCAAGGCUUUGACGGGUAGCCGGCCUGAGAGGGUGACCGGCCACAUUGGGACUGAGGUACGGCCCAGACUCCUACGGGAGGCAGCAGUGGGGAAUAUUGCACAAUGGGCGGAAGCCUGAUGCAGCAACGCCGCGUGCGGGAUGACGGCCUUCGGGUUGUAAACCGCUUUCGCCUGUGACGAAGCGUGAGUGACGGUAAUGGGUAAAGAAGCACCGGCUAACUACGUG